AUUGAACGCUGGCGGCAGGCCUAACACAUGCAAGUCGAACGGCAACAGGAAGAGGCUUGCCUCUUUGCUGUCGCGUGGGGCAGGGGUGUGUAAUGUCCGUGAAACUGCAUUAUGGCGGGGGUUAAAUCGUGGAAACGGUAGCUAUAACAGCACAUAGUAGCAACAGCAAAGAGCAGGAGAUCCGGGCAUCUUGCCAUCGUCUGUGCCCCGAUGGGAUUAGCGAGUUGGUGGGGUAACGGCUCACCAAGGCGACGAUCCGUAGCUGGUCUGAGAGGAUGACCAGCCACACUGGAACUGAGACACGGUCCAGACUCCUACGGGAGGCAGCAGUGGGGAAUAUUGCACAAUGGGCGCAAGCCUGAUGCAGCUAUGCCGCGUGUGUGAAGAAGGCCUUCGGGUUGUAAAGCCCUUUUAUUGGGGAAGAAAAGAGGAAGGUUAAUACCUUGACGUAUUGACGUUACCCAAAGAAAAAGCACCGGCUAACUCCGUG
Molecule: ribosomal RNA, 490 nt
Filed under: uncultured bacterium
Lineage: Bacteria
Description: partial 16S ribosomal RNA
Rfam family: Bacterial small subunit ribosomal RNA
Source: RNAcentral